Molecule: transfer RNA, 88 nt
Filed under: Candidatus Omnitrophota bacterium
Lineage: Bacteria; Pseudomonadati; Candidatus Omnitrophota
Description: Candidatus Omnitrophica bacterium tRNA-Ser
Rfam family: tRNA
About the family: Transfer RNA (tRNA) molecules are approximately 80 nucleotides in length.
Source: RNAcentral
GGAGAGGUGCCGGAGCGGUCGAACGGGCUCGCCUGGAGAGCGAGUGUUCGCCAAAAGCGAACCCAGGGUUCGAAUCCCUGCCUCUCCG